RNAcentral lists this ribosomal RNA (465 nucleotides) under Vreelandella stevensii. RNAcentral's name for it is "partial 16S ribosomal RNA". It matches the Rfam family "Bacterial small subunit ribosomal RNA", at positions 338 to 795 of the family's 1533-position model. Lineage: Bacteria; Pseudomonadati; Pseudomonadota; Gammaproteobacteria; Oceanospirillales; Halomonadaceae. The record is from RNAcentral.
CCUACGGGUGGCAGCAGUGGGGAAUAUUGGACAAUGGGCGAAAGCCUGAUCCAGCCAUGCCGCGUGUGUGAAGAAGGCCUUCGGGUUGUAAAGCACUUUCAGUGGGGAAGAAAGCCUUGGGGCUAAUACCCUCGAGGAAGGACAUCACCCACAGAAGAAGCACCGGCUAACUCCGUGCCAGCAGCCGCGGUAAUACGGAGGGUGUGAGCGUUAAUCGGAAUUACUGGGCGUAAAGCGCGCGUAGGCGGUCUGAUAAGCCGGUUGUGAAAGCCCCGGGCUCAACCUGGGAACGGCAUCCGGAACUGUCAGGCUAGAGUGCAGGAGAGGAAGGUAGAAUUCCCGGUGUAGCAGUGAAAUGCGUAGAGAUCGGGAGGAAUACCAGUGGCGAAGGCGGCCUUCUGGACUGACACUGACGCUGAGGUGCGAAAGCGUGGGUAGCAGACAGGAUUAGAUACCCUAGUAGUC